CCUACGGGCGGCUGCAGUGGGGAAUAUCGCACAAUGGGCGCAAGCCUGAUGCAGCCAUGCCGCGUGUGUGAAGAAGGCCUUCGGGUUGUAAAGCACUUUCAGCGGGGAGGAAGGCGUUAAGGUUAAUAACCUUGGCGAUUGACGUUACCCGCAGAAGAAGCACCGGCUAACUCCGUGCCAGCAGCCGCGGUAAUACGGAGGGUGCAAGCGUUAAUCGGAAUUACUGGGCGUAAAGCGCACGCAGGCGGUCUGUCAAGUCGGAUGUGAAAUCCCCGGGCUCAACCUGGGAACUGCAUUCGAAACUGGCAGGCUAGAGUCUUGUAGAGGGGGGUAGAAUUCCAGGUGUAGCGGUGAAAUGCGUAGAGAUCUGGAGGAAUACCGGUGGCGAAGGCGGCCCCCUGGACAAAGACUGACGCUCAGGUGCGAAAGCGUGGGGAGCAAACAGGAUUAGAUACCCGUGUAGUC
Molecule: ribosomal RNA, 465 nt
Filed under: uncultured Klebsiella sp.
Lineage: Bacteria; Pseudomonadati; Pseudomonadota; Gammaproteobacteria; Enterobacterales; Enterobacteriaceae
Description: bacterial SSU rRNA
Rfam family: Bacterial small subunit ribosomal RNA
Source: RNAcentral